Molecule: ribosomal RNA, 698 nt
Filed under: uncultured Sebacinales
Lineage: Eukaryota; Fungi; Basidiomycota; Agaricomycetes; Sebacinales
Description: eukaryotic LSU rRNA
Rfam family: Eukaryotic large subunit ribosomal RNA
Source: RNAcentral
UGACAAUUUGACCUCAAAUCGGGUGGGACUACCCGCUGAACUUAAGCAUAUCAAUAAGCGGAGGAAAAGAAACUAACAAGGAUUCCCCUAGUAACGGCGAGUGAAGAGGGAAAAGCUCAAAUUUUGAAUCUGGUGUCUUUGACGCCCGAGUUGUAAUCUAGAGAAGUGUUUUCCGUGUCGGACCGUGCACAAGUCCCCUGGAACGGGGUGUCAUAGAGGGUGAGAAUCCCGUAUAUGGCACGGACCGCCGAUGCUUUGUGAUACACUCUCAACGAGUCGAGUUGUUUGGGAAUGCAGCUCAAAAUGGGUGGUAAAUUCCAUCUAAAGCUAAAUAUUGGCGAGAGACCGAUAGCGAACAAGUACCGUGAGGGAAAGAUGAAAAGCACUUUGGAAAGAGAGUGAAACAGUACGUGAAAUUGUUGAAAGGGAAGCGUUUGAAGUCAGUCGUAUCUGGCGGGAUUCAGCCUGGCUUUUGCCGGGUGUACUUUCCGUCCGAUGGGUCAGCAUCAAUUUCGAUGGGGGGAAAAAGACGUGGGGAAUGUGGCUGUCUUCGGGCAGUGUUAUAGCCCCGCGUUGUAUGCCUCUGUCGGGAUUGAGGAACGCAGCGCGCCUAUAGGCCAGGGGCUACCCGCCUCUUGACACGCGCUUAGGAUGCUGGCAUAAUGGCUUUAAGCGACCCGUCUUGAAACACGGACCAC